RNAcentral lists this long non-coding RNA (556 nucleotides) under Cricetulus griseus (Chinese hamster). RNAcentral describes it as "lncRNA (ENSCGRG00015010778.2)". Lineage: Eukaryota; Metazoa; Chordata; Mammalia; Rodentia; Cricetidae. The record is from RNAcentral.
AGAGCCUCGUGCUGUGUCACUAGGUUCCCCAUCCUCAGCUUCUGAGAGCUGCAGACAUGGGGUAGCCCUGUGACACUCCCCCACACAUGUCCUCUGUCACCCACGUGUGGGCCCUAGUUUCCUUCCCAGACAGCAACUACAGCCAGACAUGCUGAGGCCUGCAGAAUUUCUCUUCCCACAUGAAUGACUGGGCCACUCUAUGCACAGCACAGCCCUGUGAGGUUUUCCUGGCAUUUGUUCCUGCCUGUGGCAGUCUGAGAUAUACCGGGACCCUGUAACCUUCAAAUCAGUCAUCUUUCCAACUAAGGACCUCUGGAUUCUUCCAUCCACCACUGCCAUGUCUGAAAACAAGACUUCCUAUGCUUUCCUUCCAUCAUUCCUCACCAUGCAAGCAUUAAUGCUAAUGGAGGGAAGCACAAAAGUAAGAACUGGGGCUGGAGAGAUGGCUCAGAGGUUAAAAGCACUGACUGCUCUUCCAGAGGUCCUGAGUUCAAUUCCCAGCAACCACAUGAUGGCUCACAACCGUCUGCAAUGAGAUCCGAUGCCCUCUUCUGAC